GACGAACGCUGGCGGCGUGCUUAACACAUGCAAGUCAAGGGGGCCCAGCAAUGGGCAACCGGCGAACGGGUGCGUAACACGUGAGCAACCUACCGAACUGUGGGGGAUAGCCGGCCUAACGGCCGAGUAAUACCGCAUACGCUUUCAGUGAGGCAUUUCAUUGAAAGGAAACCUACGGGACAGAUCGAGGGGCUCGCGGCCUAUCAGCUAGUUGGCGAGGUAACGGCUCACCAAGGCAACGACGGGUAGCUGGUCUGAGAGGAUGGCCAGCCACAUUGGGACUGAGAUACGGCCCAGACUCCUACGGGGGCAGCAAUUAGGAAUCUUGCGCAAUGGGCGAAAGCCUGACGCAGCGACGCCGCGUGCAGGAAGAAGGCCUUCUGGGUUGUAAACUGUCUUUAUCUGGGAAGAAAAACCUAAUGCGUAGGGAACUGACGGUACCAGAUGAAUAAGCACCGGCUAACUCCGU
RNAcentral lists this ribosomal RNA (469 nucleotides) under uncultured bacterium. RNAcentral's name for it is "bacterial SSU rRNA". It matches the Rfam family "Bacterial small subunit ribosomal RNA", at positions 28 to 506 of the family's 1533-position model. The record is from RNAcentral.